ACACAUGCAAGUCGAGCGGAUGAAGGGAGCUUGCUCCUGGAUUCAGCGGCGGACGGGUGAGUAAUGCCUAGGAAUCUGCCUGGUAGUGGGGGAUAACGUUCCGAAAGGAACGCUAAUACCGCGUACGUCCUACGGGAGAAAGCAGGGGACCUUCGGGCCUUGCGCUAUCAGAUGAGCCUAGGUCGGAUUAGCUAGUUGGUGAGGUAAUGGCUCACCAAGGCGACGAUCCGUAACUGGUCUGAGAGGAUGAUCAGUCACACUGGAACUGAGACACGGUCCAGACUCCUACGGGAGGCAGCAGUGGGGAAUAUUGGACAAUGGGCGAAAGCCUGAUCCAGCCAUGCCGCGUGUGUGAAGAAGGUCUUCGGAUUGUAAAGCACUUUAAGUUGGGAGGAAGGGCUGUAGGCUAAUAUCCUGCGGUUUUGACGUUACCAACAGAAUAAGCACCGGCUAACUUCGUGCCAGCAGCCGCGGUAAUACGAAGGGUGCAAGCGUUAAUCGGAAUUACUGGGCGUAAAGCGCGCGUAGGUGGUUCGUUAAGUUGGAUGUGAAAGCCCCGGGCUCAACCUGGGAACUGCAUCCAAAACUGGCGAGCUAGAGUACGGUAGAGGGUAGUGGAAUUUCCUGUGUAGCGGUGAAAUGCGUAGAUAUAGGAAGGAACACCAGUGGCGAAGGCGACUACCUGGACUGAUACUGACACUGAGGUGCGAAAGCGUGGGGAGCAAACAGGAUUAGAUACCCUGGUAGUCCACGCCGUAAACGAUGUCAACUAGCCGUUGGAAUCCUUGAGAUUUUAGUGG
RNAcentral lists this ribosomal RNA (800 nucleotides) under Pseudomonas sp. RNAcentral describes it as "bacterial SSU rRNA". It matches the Rfam family "Bacterial small subunit ribosomal RNA", at positions 51 to 846 of the family's 1533-position model. The record is from RNAcentral. Lineage: Bacteria; Pseudomonadati; Pseudomonadota; Gammaproteobacteria; Pseudomonadales; Pseudomonadaceae.